UGCCCUGAAAACAGAUGAUAAACAGAAGAGUUGUAAGAUAUUUACAUUGGACAACUGUCACUCUGGCAACUGCUGCCUCGACUCCUUCACUAUUUUGGUUGGACACUUUUUCUGGCAAUUAGCAGUCAAACGACAAACCAAGGCAAAGUGUCUUCUAAACCUGCAGUCCGAGAUGCCGAGCUUUACCAGGCGUUCUAAAAGUCAGAAUUAAGCAGAGGCAGCUGACUCGGGCAGGACUGCACCCGUUACUCUGCACAGGCCACCUAGCAGCAGAGGAAGAAAUGAAUGCAAGUUCAGCACAUCCUGAAGCCAAAUAAGAAGCAUUCAUCCCUCCACCCUACCGCGAGUGUGUGCACACGUGUAUGCACAUGCACAGACCAAGAGAGGUAUCGAUGUUCCACCCAACCCCAGCACCCGGCUGACAGGGGGACAAGUUUUUCAAUGUGCAUGUUCAAAUACUGUCGAUGUAGCCUACAUACUAAUUUUUAAGACCGAACACUUUCUUUUAUUCCUCUCUAAGCAUUUUUUCUUUCUAAAGUGACCCUAGUAAUUUCAAAGUGUUAUCAACAGGGCUUGUGGUGCUGUAUAGUACAAUAACUAGUACAGUAAUUCAGUACAGUACUAAAGAUGCUGACACUUCCCAUUGUAAGUGUGUUUUGUAACUGUUUAAUAAACUUCACUACACUUCAAAUAUUA
Molecule: long non-coding RNA, 696 nt
Organism: Dromaius novaehollandiae (emu)
Lineage: Eukaryota; Metazoa; Chordata; Aves; Casuariiformes; Dromaiidae
Exons: 3
Source: RefSeq, a predicted model, not a curated record